Molecule: ribosomal RNA, 735 nt
Filed under: Lysinibacillus sp.
Lineage: Bacteria; Bacillati; Bacillota; Bacilli; Caryophanales; Bacillaceae
Description: bacterial SSU rRNA
Rfam family: Bacterial small subunit ribosomal RNA
Source: RNAcentral
GCUAUACUGCAGUCGAGCGAACAGAGAAGGAGCUUGCUCCUUCGACGUUAGCGGCGGACGGGUGAGUAACACGUGGGCAACCUACCUUAUAGUUUGGGAUAACUCCGGGAAACCGGGGCUAAUACCGAAUAAUCUGUUUCACCUCAUGGUGAAACACUGAAAGACGGCAUCUCGCUGUCGCUAUAGGAUGGGCCCGCGGCGCAUUAGCUAGUUGGUGAGGUAACGGCUCACCAAGGCGACGAUGCGUAGCCGACCUGAGAGGGUGAUCGGCCACACUGGGACUGAGACACGGCCCAGACUCCUACGGGAGGCAGCAGUAGGGAAUCUUCCACAAUGGGCGAAAGCCUGAUGGAGCAACGCCGCGUGAGUGAAGAAGGAUUUCGGUUCGUAAAACUCUGUUGUAAGGGAAGAACAAGUACAGUAGUAACUGGCUGUACCUUGACGGUACCUUAUUAGAAAGCCACGGCUAACUACGUGCCAGCAGCCGCGGUAAUACGUAGGUGGCAAGCGUUGUCCGGAAUUAUUGGGCGUAAAGCGCGCGCAGGUGGUUUCUUAAGUCUGAUGUGAAAGCCCACGGCUCAACCGUGGAGGGUCAUUGGAAACUGGGAGACUUGAGUGCAGAAGAGAUAGUGGAAUUCCAAGUGUAGCGGUGAAAUGCGUAGAGAUUUGGAGGAACACCAGUGGCGAAGCGACUAUCUGGUCUGUAACUGACACUGAGGCGCGAAAGCGUGGGGA